RNAcentral lists this ribosomal RNA (253 nucleotides) under uncultured bacterium. RNAcentral's name for it is "partial 16S ribosomal RNA". It matches the Rfam family "Bacterial small subunit ribosomal RNA", at positions 524 to 776 of the family's 1533-position model. The record is from RNAcentral.
UACGUAGGGGGCAAGCGUUGUCCGGAUUCAUUGGGCGUAAAGAGCGUGUAGGCGGCCAGGUAGGUCGGUUGUGAAAACUGGAGGCUCAACCUUCAGAGGUCGACCGAAACCAUCUGGCUAGAGUCCGGGAGAGGAGAGUGGAAUUCCUGGUGUAGCGGUGAAAUGCGCAGAUAUCAGGAAGAACACCCGUGGCGAAAGCGGCUCUCUGGAACGGUACUGACGCUGAGACGCGAAAGCGCGGGGAGCGAACGGG